This is an RNA transcript of Calidris pugnax (ruff), 7385 nucleotides long. It is a transcript of the gene named chromosome unknown open reading frame, human C4orf50, with no coding region annotated. The record is from RefSeq and is a predicted model, not a curated record. The transcript is spliced from 12 exons. Lineage: Eukaryota; Metazoa; Chordata; Aves; Charadriiformes; Scolopacidae.
CUCAGAAAUCUGCAUCUCUGAUGUGAACAGGGUAUGUAAUGAUGACAUAAUAAAAAUGGAGGAGAAAGGAGAGAAACCUCAGAAAACAACUUGCCAAACAAAUCCUUCCAGCAAUAUUGGGCUGAAAGAAAAGAAAAAACAGACCCUGAAACUAUGUGAACCAAACAGGAAGAAUUUCUCAUGUCAAAAAAUAGCUGCUGAAAACAUGCAAUAUACAUACUCUCAGAAUUUUUUUUGGUCAGAGGAAGAGAGGUAUCCGCUAAACACGUUGUCUCCUGUGCAGGAGAGGGAUGUGUGCUUAAACAAACUGUUCCUGCCAGGGAGCAAUUUUUAUGAGUGUUUCUGUCAUCUGUCACCACUGGAAGGUGGUAAUGAAUGUAAUGUAAAAAUAUAUGCACUGGAAAAAGUAGUGGCUAUGUGUUCCCAGAGGAUAUUUCUACUGAUGGAAGAGAAUGAAAAUUACUCCAAAAAAGUCUGUAUAUUGCAACAGGAGAAUGAGAGAUAUGCUCAGCUAAUGUGUGCACUGGAAGAAGAGAUGGAUGCGUAUUUUCAAUACAUUUUAGCGGUAGAUGAAGCUAAUGUUGUUUCAUUCCAAAACUUACUUAAUGAGAAAGAAGUUGCUGGUGGAUGUUAUAAUAGCUCAUCAGAAGAAAGCACCAUGAGCUCAGGAGCAUUUUUUGUUGAAACCUCUAAAAACCUCUCAUGUAUUGAAGAGAAAAAUAGGAAUUCUGGUAAAGACCCACUGACAGUUGCAUCGAAUAAACUUCCCAGGAGUGUUUUAUCCCUGGAUGGAAGGAAAAAGAGAUAUUUCCAGAUGCUUUCUGACCUGAAAGAAGAAAGAAGCAGAUGCUUCAAAGAAAUAGCUAAAUUAUUACAAGACAAGGAGAAUUAUGUAGCAAAAUAUAAUGAAUUAAUACAAGAGAGAGAGGGUAAUUUACAAAGAAUAUCUCUUUUAGAAGGUGAAAAAGAAACUUUAUUGGGAUGUUUGGCAGAAGUAAGGUGUGAACAAGACAAAUACAGGACCUUGGUUUCAGAACUUCAAGAAUGCAAAACCAGCAGCUAUCAAACUAUUUCUGAUUUACAGAAGGAAAAACAUGUACUGAAAAGAGAAAUAGACAGAAUCAAGAAAGAAGCUUCAGAACAGCUUGGGGAAUUUCAGAAAGCAAAUGCAAACUUUAUUUUAGAAAAUAAUAAAUUGAAAGGAUUAAUGUCAUCUUUGGGUUUCAACUAUGAAGAGCUGAGAAAAGGUAAAAGUUUGGAAACAAAGGAAAAGAUAGUAAAACUAAAAGAAGAAAGUCAACAACAUGGUCUUAAGCCAAAGAAAGUUAAAACAGCAUGUAGUGCAACUCAGACUGAAGAAGGAGGAGUUCUGGUUGUAGAUCCCUCAAACUUUUUGCCUGGAAAAGAGGACAGCAUGUUUCAAAGCUACAGUGAGAUGAAAGAGCAAGUCAAAAAGGCAGAAGAGGAACUCAAAGUACAGCAAAAGGAUUUAGAAAAAUCAAAAAAAGAGGCUCAGAAGUGGUACAGAGAACUUGGCUUUGCUGAAUCAAGAUACGAAGAAAUCAAAACCCGUUUGACACAGGCUCUCUCAGAAUUAGACCAUCUUAAACAAGAAGUAGGGGACAAAAUGCCUGGAAAGCAGAGCUGCAAAUUAAUGCCUGUGUACACUGUGGAAGAUGCUCAUGAAAUAGAGGAGAAUAAAAUAGCCAGGAAGAGAUUACAGCAGCAAGUGCUGACCUUGAAAGCCCAGCUCAGGGACCAGGCUGCAUUACAAAAUCAGUUUCACGACUUGCAGAAUGAAGUGGAACUCCUUCAGGCUCAGCUAUGUGAAAAGGAAAAAGAACUUCAGAAGAGAAGGUCUGAAGUGAAGUUGACACUAGCUCCUCUGAAGGCUAAGCUGGCUUGCCUCACCCGAAAGUGCCAGGAAAGGAACAGCUUGAUAACAAGGAUGAAUGAUGAAUUUCACAGGCGAGGAAUUAUUAACUCUGCAUUUGAUGAAGAGGUGAAAAACUUGGUGAAUGACACGACUCUGGCAGAGUACACAGUUGCUUUUACACCAAUGUGUGAUCGAGAGAUGCUGCCUUCUUCCACAGACAUUUCACAGGCCAGCGGACAGCCAGAGGAUCGUCAGACAUAUGUCAAAGUGAAUGGGAAGACUGGGUCAAUACCUGCAAACUCUCAGCAAGAGGUGGAGAGCAUCCACAGCUCUCACAUCACUCCAAAUGCAUACGCCGGUUCUCCUAAAAAAUUAACAAGUCCAGAGAGGAUCAUAGCCUUGCAUCGAGAACUAAGACAAAACCAGCGCAAAAAUUGCCAGAUACCUUCAGUUGUCUCCUCCACCUCAGACCUGAAAGAUCAUGGCUGCAACCUGCCCACGAUCCACAAGGAAGCCCCUUGGCCUCUGCAGUCAAGGAUGAAGGAUGCACUGGUGCCUCCGGAGUGUGAUGCUUUCUGGGCCAUGAAGGGGAGGGAUCGGUUGUCGAAAUGUGAUGAUGUAUUUUGGGGUCAAAUAGGAAAUCAGCAUGCAGGUGCUAUUCCCCAGGGAAUGAAACAGAAAAAUGCCAUUAUGAAUAAGGCAUGGCUCUCUAGAGAAAAAACAGAUGGCUCAACCUCAGCUACCACAGCAAAAAGCUAUUUGUCAGAUGUGUUGUCAGCAAGUAAUAAAGGUCGAAAUCCUGUGGGGAGAAAUCAGCUGCACGAGAAAGAGUAAAACCUGCAGAAAUAAAACAAGGGAUGACUUCGCCGGUUGGUUUGGUUAUUAAACAGUGGGGAAAUGCAGCCUGGUGGUUGGUUCCGAGCAUCCUGUAGAUGGUGAAUUAGGAUUUUGCAAUAUGACUUUCAUUGCAGAAUACAAGACUGUCUUGGAAAACUCAUGCUCUCUAUGCACAUUUCAAAUCAGUGCUCAAACUGCUGGUGUUUCUGGCUUGGUUCCUGAGAAGAUAACGGUCCAGUGCAUUUGUAGGAGAGAAGUGCCGUGAUUUGAAGUUCAGUCCAGCUCUGAAAUGCAACAGAAUGUUGCCCACUCUCGUAAGUCUGCCGUCACACUGCCAAAACACAGCCCAGUAAGGAUCCCACGGCUGCACCCAAGGAAGCAGAUAUCGUUUGGACAUUUUGAAAACCAAGAAAAGGUGGUUUCUGUGAAGCUGAGGGAAGAAUGUAUCAGUCGCACAGAAGCAGCAAUACUGCUCUGAAGGAAUGAUGAAAUGUGCUUUAUCCUGGCGGUGACCGCAGCUGCUUCACUAUGGGAAAAACUGAGAAGUUGCCCUGACUUACCAUCUGCCACGUUCUGCAGUGGAAGCUGGCCAUGUAGGCCAACCCAAUGUGUGGUUUGAGUUUUCGUUCUGUUUUGUUUUCUUGGGAUCUCGGCACUUGCAUUUUAAAGAAAUUAUCAAGUUAAAGCACAGAUCUUGGUGUUCGUGGGUCUGCUUGUGUGGGCAUGUGCUAUCCUCAGCCUCAUAUGGCUUUGAGCAUUCCUGAAAAAGCCUUUGAUCUGAGUUAGGAUGUUCAGUAUUUCGGAGGACGUGGUACUUGAGGGUACAAACUGUUUAGGAAAUGAGACAGAACUGCAUUUUUACAAGGUUAAGUAGGAAUUGGGAAUGUGCUUCAUGUGCAUUGAGAGGCGCUGGGAACAUCAAAGCGCUCUGUCCCAGAUUGAUUAUUUCAACCACAUGAAUAGGCCACACUGAAUUUACCAUUCAGAUGAGGUAUUUGCACGCAUACGUGCUUUUUGUGAAAGAGGUGGGUUUGUGCACACUGGUUGGUAAUAGCGCGCGUGACUCAAGCUUGUUUUGCAACCGACACUGCACAGCACAGAUUUAUGCCCCCAUAACCCAUACUGUUCAUACCCAAGUACCCAUUUGUGAAGGCAGGGAGAUGUGAAUGUGGGCACAAGACCUGUGCAUAAGGGAUCAUAUGGGUACAUCCAUUCCUCCUUUGACUAAAGGCUUGCACACAGCACUGUUGAACUCAGUGGCAAUACUCGUGUUGUCCUGGAUGGGAGCAGCCAUGGGUACUGCUCCCUCAAACUGUCCCUCACAGGGUAAUGCACUUUCAGUUUCAAUAACUGUUUUAUGACUUGUAUUUCUUCUUUUUUUUUCUUUUUUUUUUUUUUUAAUGUUGAGCUAACUGCUAGAAUGUGCUCUUUUUACAAUGCUUAGUCGCCCAGUAAUUCCAGAUAUCCUUUGAAAGGAGGCAGAAGGAUAAUAAACUGUGGAAUCCCAAACCAGAUUAAUGUAAUGUGCAUUUCUAGAUUAUGAUUAGUAACAAGAUGACACGUUGGCAUGGUAACACUUGAAGCUUAACUACAUGUUCUUAAAAUAAAGCAAUGACAUAUGUGUAGGUUUCUAUCCAUUUGCAUACUAUCCACCUGAAAACAUACACCAUUUCCACAACACUCAGGCAAUUAAACCCUACUUCUUACUUUUGAAUUAAGUGCUAAACUAAAACAUCAUGCCUCUUUCCUAGUACUUAUGCAUAGUCUCCCACCGUAAAUUAUAAAUGUUGAUAAUGAACCUGUCUGUUUUGUAACAUCUUAAGCUUUCUGCCAUUUGGUUUCAUUUUAAAACGAUUAGCAUAAGGAAUGUAGAACGCGCUUCAUUCUUUGUGGUUUGUACCACAUUGAUCUCCUUUAAAUUCUACCACCUCCUAAUAUGAAAAUUGUCUCACUGACAUUGGAAAAGCCUGUUUAUUAAUUAAAUUGAUAGACCAGCGGGUGCAUGUCAUGUGGCUGAGGACUGGGAAUUAAAAUCCCAACAUUACCUCAAAUCAUUGUAAGAAAGCAGUAAAAUUUUUCAUGUGAGAUUACUAGCUGAGACAGAGAGCCUAGCUAUUAUUUUCUAGUUGCCUUAUGGUGAAGAGAAUAGUGUUGUCUAGUUGUUACAGCCUGUUCAGCUUUCUUUCACUAAGCAGAUGUUAACUUGUUUAGGUGUGUUAUCUAUGGUAAGCGUGCCAGGGGAUGCUUUACGUGUAUCGUUGUUUUGUGUUAAACUUUCUCAGAAUGCAAAAUUGGGCACUUUGUUCUGAUUGCUUUAUAUGCACAAUAUUGCCUUGACCAAAUUCCUUACCGUCAAAAUUAAGAAGCUGCUAAGUUCUGCGUAAGUAAACACAAUCUUCUGUCACCCUAAAUAGACAAAAUGGGCAGUGUUACAUGGAAAAUAUGAUUUCCUUGACAGUUCACUUAUUUACGUAUACUCCACUGUAUAGAGCAUUGCAGAAUAUUGAAAAUAGAGCUUACAAACCUUUAAAUCCCAAAUUCUGUUCUUCACAUCACUAUGGAUGGCAGAUACUGGAAGUACAAUGAUUGGCUCCGGUGUGAUAAUCAUGUUACAUUCAGAAUAAUACAAUUGCCAGGAAAUAUUUCACACCUACAGCAAAGUUCCCAGGAUAAACCUCCUGCUAAGGCAUGGCUCAUGUUUGUCCUUGUGGCCUUUUCAAAAAGUGGAAACUCUGAUCUGUAUUUCAUCAAUCUACCUGUAUUUCUCACUUGCAGAUGAAGGAUUUAAGUAUUUGAAUUUGCCAUGGUUGUGGGGUGGAGGGAGGGACAUGUGCAUGCUGGGUUUUGCCACUAAUCCUUUGGAAAUCCUUUAGUGCCUUAAGGAGGCAGAGGGGGAACAGACCUUAGGAUUACAGAAACUUGUUCAAACCUUUUUCCUGCUUUAGCAGAAUUCCUUUAAAAUAUAUCGUGCCUUUGGCUUCAAACACAUUUGCAUUAGAAAUCAGUAGCCAUGGGAUUAUGGACAGGAAGUUUUGUCCCUGCACAAAUGUUAGGAAAGAGAAAUAUAAUGAACUUAAGUUCUACUAGUGGAAUCCAUGCAUAAACCGUGAUUUGACAACUAGGAAAGUUGCAAGGUGCAGGUAAAGUAAAACAAAAAUAAAAAAGAAAAUAAGAAAUAAUAAAAAAAGAAAAUGUAAAUGUGUUGGAUGAAAUGCUUGUACCACUGCAGUGACUGGCAAAUUUCCACUGGCUUCCCUGGGACCAAGAUUUCAUGCUUGCUUCUACUUGGCUCAAGAAAUACUCCCAUAUGAUAGGUACUUAAGCAUCAUGCUUUAACUUUUUCUAUGCACAUAGGAGAGGAAAAGAGAGAUUAGUAGUUGUGGAGAUGCGCCUUGAUUUGGAGUUGUUGGGUUCUGUGUUAUAAAUCUCUGUCCACCAUUGUUUCUCUGUGUAACAUAGACUCUUGCUAUGGGAAUAUGAAUAUGCAAAUGUAAAUUCCCAUGUGAGAGGUUACUGCGCAGUGUGCACUCGCCGAUGCCAAACAACUAUAUUUCUCUGCUCUCUGAAUUGUGAGUUUGUCUUUUUUAAAAAGAGGGUGAAAAAAAGCCUGUGUGAUGCAAUUCAUGUGCUCACUGAUGGUCCUAAGCAGAUCUUAGGAAAAGUUGAAUAAGCUUUUAGCUAAUGAGUGAAUUUUACUUUUUAGAAAUUGAAAGCAAUAUGUUGGUACAGAGGUAAAAAAAAAAAAAAAAAAAAAGACCUGAAAAUCAGAGUGGUGGUUGUCUUCUAUUUUCUCCCUGUGAUUACAAGUUUUAAAGAAUAUGUAAAUAGUUAAAAGAAAAUCAUUACAUGGCUCACAGUAUGUAAGACAAGACCCAGCAUGGAACAGAUUUUUAUAGCUUGUUUAUAAAUUACACUUCUGUCUUUUGUUUGGAACUUGGAAAAAGAAACCAUGUAAAUUAAAUAAGGAGUAAAGACUUACUGCACACAUUUGCUUGACUGAAACAAAGAUAUUUCCCCACCUCCUGAGGUAUUUAUGAGAAAUCUGGGAUGAAUAAUGUAUGGAGAUCUUGCCUUUUGAGCUCUAAUGCUGUGUGGUUAUUUAGCUCCUUUGCACAGAUGACAGAGGGAUGGUAACCAGUGGCCAUGAAGAGCGGUUGUUAGGGCCACAAACUGGGAUCCAUUUGAAGAGGUGCCAAAGAAUGCACAAAAAGGCUGGGGUUUAUGACUGCAGAAGGAGGGGUGUUUGUAAAUAAAUGCAAAAAGUUUAAAGUCUGGCCCACGACCGCCCUGUAACUGGGUGUGGAAUUGGUCUCAGCUAAAUGAGACGCUUCAGAAAUAUCGAAGAGGCCACUCCUCUUUUGAUCUGUUCCUUUAAAACUUGCUGGAUAACUUCUCAGCAAAGAUUUCCGCUCCGAAACAUUUGUCAUAGAUAUCAACUGUACAUAUGUAUUAAUUUUGAGUGUAACUAGGGAGGAUACAGAAUUGUAACGAAGUCACAAAGUCUACUUGAUGAUUAUCACAGAUUUGUAACUCUCACUUAAAUUAUGUAAGAUAUGUUGACAUUUUAUCUUGUUAACAAGAUGUAUUUUUCUAUGUUAGUUAAAUGUAUAAUUUGUAUAAUUUUGUAUAUUAAAUGUAUGCAUAUUUUAAAUUAAAGACUUUAUAAUUUUAA